UACGUAGGGUGCGAGCGUUAAUCGGAAUUACUGGGCGUAAAGCGUGCGUAGACGGUUAUUUAAGUCGGGUGUGAAAGCCCCGGGCUCAACCUGGGAAUUGCAUUCGAGACUGAAUAGCUAGGGUACGGUAGAGGGAAGCGGAAUUUCCGGUGUAGCGGUGAAAUGCGUAGAUAUCGGAAGGAACAUCAGUGGCGAAAGCGGCUUCCUGGACCAGUACCGACGUCAGGCACGAAAGCGUGGGGAGCAAAC
This 249-nucleotide ribosomal RNA is filed under the name uncultured bacterium. Its description in RNAcentral is "partial 16S ribosomal RNA". It matches the Rfam family "Bacterial small subunit ribosomal RNA", at positions 524 to 773 of the family's 1533-position model. The record is from RNAcentral.